This 7333-nucleotide long non-coding RNA is filed under the name Zea mays. RNAcentral describes it as "long non-coding RNA (ZMAY_LNC004432)". Lineage: Eukaryota; Viridiplantae; Streptophyta; Magnoliopsida; Poales; Poaceae. The record is from RNAcentral.
GCGAAGAUGCCGUGAUGAACACCUUCCACGGCGAGGUAUGGCCCGUGGCGAAUCCACUGGGUCAGGUGAGGGCUCCCGGUGUCCUCCCUGUUCCCCCGCGGCCACCAGUACGCGCUCGGUACGGUCUUGCGCGCGCACCGGUCUGCGUCCAGGAUACCGAGAUGAAGCACACGCCCCCAAAUCCAUUGGCGCCCGUGAUUCCUUCUCAUCUCCACGAACUCGUCAAUGGCGACCACUCAUCACCCCGGUUUGCGCGACUGUGCACAACGCAGCAUGGCUAUAUGAGAAUAGCUGCGAGAUGGGAUAGCGGCACCCGAUACUUAAACCUGCGAGGGCACCGCAACGGCCCGAGAAGAGGGGGAAAUCUGGUCAGCAGAGCGCGCGAUGCGCACGGCGUCUAUUACGGGUAACCAGCGAAGGAGAAGGAGCUGACCGGGGGCCCCACUGUUCAGUGCGAUGGAUUUAUGGUCAAGGACUGUCGCACCGGACCACCGGUCAUCGGAAAAGCGGGCACGGUUGGAGACUGACGUCUGGGCCCACACGGCGAAGCACGCAGCGAAGCCCGUGGUGGACGAUUGAGGCAGACGGCUGCAGUUGGGGCCCACACGUCGGUGACUGGCGCACGGUUUAGAGAAUUGGGCUGCGUAGAGGAGUUCACAGGGUGGGCUGAAUUGCAAGCCAAAGGCCCAGCUAAGUUAAUUACCCCUUUUCUUUUAUUCUAUUGGAAUUUCCAUUUACAAAUUUGAAUUUGGUUUUCAAUUCCCAAAUCCAAUUGAAAUUCAAAGUUCACGGCAAAUUUGUCUUCACAUUUAUAUGCUCAAUUCCUCUGCACAUAGUAUGGAUAAAUUUAUUUAUUUCUCCAUUUAUUCUAUUUUGCAUAAUAUUUCCUUUCUCUAACUCAAACCCUAAUUCUCUAUUUAGGAUUCCAAUUUCCUCUCAUUAUUAUAUUUCUUUUAUUAUUAUUAUUAUUAUAUUGUCACAAAUAAUGCACACAAAAUAAAAUUUCAUCAUGAUGCAAUGAUUUAGUGGUAUACAUAUUUUAUAAUUAUCUGUUUUAAAAUAUGGUGUCCACAUGUGAUGGCACAAAAAGUUCAAACUCCCACAUAGAUAAAGUGAACUUGUUUCUCCCUUUGAUAUUAGCUCUUGCAAAUUACAAAUCGGGUAUUACAAAUCCUACCCCCCUUAAAAAGAAUCUCGUCCUCGAGAUUUAAGAAGGUCUAGUGAAAAGGUGGGGAAAAUAUAUGCGGAGUUCUUCUUCUCUUUCCCAAGUUACUUCAUCCUCUCCAUGGUGACUCCAUUGCACUUUGCACAUCUUUGUCACCUUAUUUCUUGUAACUCAAGUUAAUGUAUCCAGAAUCUUGAUAGGUUACUCCGUGUAAGUCAAAUCCUCCUGAACACUGAGCUCGUCCAUUGGUAGCUGUUCCUCAGGGACACGGAGACACUUCUUAAGUUGAGACACAUGAAAUACAUUAUGCACAUCAGAUAGAUUAUCAGGUAGCUCGAGUUGAUAGGCCAUCUCUCCAACUUGCCUAAAAACUCAGAACGGUCCAAUAUAGCGAGGGGACAAUUUUCCCUUGACUUUGACUCUCCUCAUUCCAUAAAGUGGUGAAACCUUGAGGUACACAUGAUUCCUUUCCUUAAAUUCCAAUGGUCUUCUUCUAUUAUCCGCAUAGAUCUUUUACCUGGUCCGAGCUACCCUCAAAUUCUCUCGAAUUAUACGAACUUGUUCCUCUGCUUCUUGAAUAAGUUCAGGUCCAAAGAACUGUCUUCCUCUAGUCUUAUCCCAAUAUAGAGGAGUCCUGCAUUUCCUAUCAAAUAUAGCCUCGAACGGUGACAUCUUCAGACUGGCCUGGUAACUAUUAUUAUAUGAGAACUCUACAUACGGCAAACUCUUAUCCCAACUUCCACCAUGUUUAAGAGCACAAGCUCUUAACAUAUCCUCUAGCACUUGGUUAGUCCUCUGUCUGCCCAUCAGUCUGUGGGUGAUAAGCCAAACUAAAAUUUAAUCUUGUAUCCAAUGACUCGUGCAACUUCUUCCAAUAUCGAGAGGUAAACUGUGACCCUCGAUCAGACACGAUCUUUUUUGGCACACCAUGUAGGCAAACAAUUCGUGCCAUGUACAACUCUGCCAACUUAGCUCCAGAAUAUGUGGUCUUCACUAGAAUAAAGUGGGCUACCUUGGUUAGCCUGUCCACAAUCACCCAUAUAGAAUCAUAUCCAGCAGACGUGCGAGGCAAUCCAAUAAUGAAAUCCAUACCAAUCUCUGCAAUCCAGUAAUGAAAUCCAUACCAAUAUCUUCUCACUUCCAUUCGGGUAUCUUUAAUGGGUACAAUAGUCCAGCUGGCCUCUGCUGUUCAGCUUUAACUCUUUGACACACAUCGCACAUAGCCACAUGUGCAGCCACAUCUCUCUUCAAUUCAUACCACCAGUAUUUUUGCUUCAAAUCCUGAUACAUCUUAGUACUCCCAGGGUGAAUAGAAUAAACUGAGUCAUGUGCCUCCUUCAAUAUGGUUUCCCGAAGACUAUCAAUGUCGGGAACACAGAUCCGAUUCUUGAACCAUAUCGUGCCUUGCUCAUCCUCCGUAAACUCUAGGCCUCUACCCUCUGUUAUCAGAUCCUUGAUCUCCUGGAUUUUAGCAUCACCAAUCUGACCUUUACGAAUUUCUUGCUCCAAGGUAGGUUCCAAUUCAAUGGUAAUUCCUUCCGUAUGUGUAACAAUUCCCAGGUUGAGUCUCUCAAAAUCUUUUGCUAAUUCAUCAGGUAGCUGGGCAACAACAGCUGAAUGAACAUGCUCCUUCCGACUCAAGGCAUCUGCAACCAAAUUUGCCUUGCCUGGGUGAUAGUGAAUCUCCAAAUCAUAAUCCUUAAUGAGCUCCAACCAACGGCGUUGCCUAAGGUUGAGAUCCUUCUGAGUGAAUAUAUACUUCAAACUCUUAUGAUCCGUAUAUACUUGGCACUUAGUUCACAUGAUGUAGUGUCUCCAAAUCUUAAGUGCAUGCACAACCGCUGCCAAUUCCAAGUCAUGAGUGGGGUAGUUCAAUUCAUGCUUCCUCAACUGACGAGAUGCAUAGGCGAUCACAUGUCCUUCUUGCAUGAGCACACAUCCCAAUCCUUGGCCAUAUGCAUCACAAUAACUGUCAAAUCCUUUCUGUAGAUCUGGCAUAACCAACACUAGUGGUGACAACGGUCUCUUCUUUAAUUGGUCAAAGCUAUCUUGGCACUUCUCAUCCCACUUGAACUCUCUUUCCUUCUCCACAAGUGAGGUCAUGGGCUUAGCAAUCUUAGAAAAUCCUUCAAUAAAUCUACGAUAGUAUCCUACAAGCCCCAAGAAACUCCGAAUCUCCGUAACUGUAGUGGGUAUGCUCCACGCCACUAUCUCCUUGACUUUAGCAAGAUCCACUGAUAUCCCUCCAUUAGAAAUGCUAUGUCCAAGGAAUGACACCUCGCCAAUCCAAAACUCGCAUUUGCUAUACUUGGCGUAGAGUUGAUUAUCCUUUAGCUUUUGUAGCACCAAUCUCAGGUGUUCCUCAUGAUCACUAUCACUCUUGGAAUAGAUAAGAAUAUCAUCGAUGAAAACCACGACGAAUCUGUCCAAAUCAUGAACACCUUAUUCUUCAGAUCCAUAAAAUAGGUUGGUGCAUUAGUUAGUCCAAAUGUCAUAACGGUGAACUCAUAUAAUCCAUAUCGAGUCGAGAAAUCCGUCUUGGGAAUAUCCGAUGGCCUAAUCUUCAUUUGAUGGUAUCUCGAUCGGAGAUCAAUCUUUGAGAAUACUCUAGCACCUCUCAUCCGAUUAAAUAAAUCCUUAAUGCGGGGUAAUGGACACUUGUUCUUCACAGUGACAUCGUUAUGGGACCUAUAAUCCACGCACAUCCCUUGCAAUCCAUCUUUCUUCUGUACAAACAAAAUCGGUGCUCUCCAAGGUGAAGACUCGGACGAAUGUACCCAGCCUCUUGCAACUCCGUUAAGUGCUUCUUGAGUUCUUUUAACUCUUCUACAGACAUCCUAUAUGGCCGUUUAGAAAUAGGAGCAGUUCCAGGUAAUAGAUCUAUGACAAACUCAACUUCCGUAUCUGGUGGCAUCCCUGGUAACUCCUCUGGGAAGACAUCCGGAAAAUCUCUAACCACACGGAUGUUGUCACUAACAAACUUCCCAUCUACUAAAAAUGCCGCUAGUUUGGUGGCGAUAGUUACUGCAAUUCCAACUUCAAAUCUUUCUUCUUUGGAACUGGUGAGUUCUAUGGUUCCUUUAGCACAGUGUAUAAACUGCAUUUGACUUUCUUAACCAUGACAUACCAAGGAUUACGUCUAUAGUGCUCUCUUCUAACACUAUAGGGGUAUAGCCCAUCUGGGUUAGAAACACAGGGUAAGAAGGGAAGAAUUGUAGACAAGGCAUGUAAUUACGAGAAAUGUUACUGCGGGGGAUUUAUUAGCUAAGUAGAUUAGUGUGUUAUCCACUAAAGCUAAUACAUUGCCUUAUGGUGGUACAUGCUAAGAUGCCCGUCUAUACUAUUUCAAUCAAUCAAAGAAGCAAAUCAGGCAUUGAUCAUCAGAACAAUCAACCAACAUUUUUAAUAGAGAAAAUAAUUUUAAUUUUAUCUUAGGUUCCCUAUCUCUGGAAAAGUUCAUAGUUAUAGGAUUCCAAGGUGUGAAAUCCAUCUUGUCUUGAAGUAGAAAAGAUAAGAAUAAUCAGAGUAGAACAGUAGAAAGUGAGACAGGAUCAAGAUAAGUGUAGAGAGAAUCAGAGUAAGGUAAGUAUAGAAUGAAUCAGAAGAAGGUAAGUAGAUAAGGGUUUGUCCAUUUCUAUCUAGGUUUCGUCCUACAGUCAACAUUUCCUUUGAUACCACUUCUGUAACACCCGGUUUUAAAGGACAAAGCCGGGUGCAUCUCAUACAUGCGCCAAAGAAGACAACAUAUAUAAUAACAGAGUGUAUAGAGAUAAAUGUCAUACAACAUCAGAGUAUUUAUUACAUAGCGGAAGACUUAAUACAAAAUAAAAGAAUAAACAUAAAACGAACUAAGGAUCGUCGGCGCCAAUGUCAACUGAGAAACGCCACCUAGAUCAGAUCAAAUUCCUCGCCUUGUAGCUCCUCAUGAAUCACCUGCUCUUCUCCUGUGGGGGGGGUGUGAGACAGCAAGAGUGAGCUCACAUACGUUCAUCGCUCAACAAGUUGUGGGGAAUAAUGUGGCAUGAACUCACCAAAGGUGGGAGUUCAUGUGGUGUAAGGCUGAUCAAUGGAAUAAAGGCUGAGGCUGAGCAUUGCUUUUAUAAGUUGGUCAAAAUUUUAUUAGCAAUUACUAAGUGUAAGUAAAUACCAAACCUUAAUAAUAAUAAAGAACAGUAAUAAUAAAAUAAUCCCAAAUGCGAUGCAAAUGUCAAAUUAAAUUUAAGUUCCAUAAUUAAUCAUGUGAGGGUCCGAGCCGCUCAUGACCGUGAGCACGGCUAGUAUACUAGUUUUACACUCUGCAGAGGUUGCGCAUCUUUACCCACAAGUCAUGUUACCCAUCUGCCAAGAGAUGGCCAAUCCCAUACACCUCUACCGAGGAGGCGAGACAGGGUAACACUACGAGGCCUUUACAAAGUUCCACUAGCUUCAGAAAUCCCGCUACAGUUUAUAGGAAGCUCCAGUGCAGGGUUCUUGCCUGACCGCCAUCGCAGCAAAAUCAACCCAAGGACCUCCCUACACUGACCACUCCCCUACUGCCCUUGCCCCUUUCGGGUAAGGAAGACCUCCACUAGCUUUCCUAGUUAAUCAGCCAAGGGCGUCCCAUUAAACCCUUGUGGUAGCACUGUUUUCCCGGGUGGUCGCUCCAUGUUCCCAUUAAUUUAAUGAUCUUAACAUGAACAGUAAUAAUAACAAGAUAAUAACAGGAUAAUCAUGUGUAGUAUAACUCCAUACCCAAUCCACAUAAAGCAAUAGCAAGUACUACCCAAAAAUAUUUCAGGGGUGAACAAGGUAUAGAGGUAAUCAAAACUGGGGUAACAUAAAGGCUCCCAUCAAAAUUAACCUAUGCAGAUCAUUAAAAUUAAUAAGAACAUGGCUGGGAAAAGUAAGUGAUCAAGGGCACAACUUGCCUGGCACUUGAGAAUCCAGGUACCAACUUGCCUUACAGAUGACACGUGCCUUCGCGCUAGUCGUAGCAACACAAACAAAUAUGGUAUAGCUAAAGUUAACAUCACACCAAACAUAAGAACAAACUAAAUAAUAAUGAUAUACGCGUUUCUACGAGACUAACGCAACUUGAACAGAUCAAUUCGGAGUUAAAACAGAGAAGUUAUGAAUUUCUGAAGAUUUUAUGUGUUUGGUACGAGAAUAACUAAGUGAUAAAAUAGAGUUACUAAUUGAUAAACAUUGUUAAUAUGAAUUUUAUGCAACUAGAAUGGAUUCAUUUGGAGCUAUAAUGAAUUUAAUAUGAUUUAUCCAAGUUUCUGGAAUUGUUUUUAUACUAAAAACCUAUUUUCUUUAUUAUUCCUGAAUUUCCUAAGAGUUCUGGACCACAGACAUAAUUAACAGAGAGUUUGGGGCUUAAACUACAAAUUCCAGGGCUCGGUUCUAAUUAUUUAACACUGUGCGCGGAUGGCGGGUUCAUUUGAAAAGAGUCCGAGGGCUCUUUUGCAAAAGUCCCAGGACAAAGGGGUAUGGGGGAUCUCUGGCCGCAAGAUCGACAACGGACGGCUACGAUUAGAUCUGGCCUAUUAUGAAACGUUACGCGACGACGUCCCUCGGAUCAGAGACCAACGGUGUGGAUUUAAAAAAAUGACCGCGGCAGGUUCACGUCCGUCCGAUAGCAUCCGACGGCUUAGAACCAAUGCGCGAAGCGGUACGACCGCUGCCCUAAUCUGCACCGUCGACCCAUCAAUCAACGGCAACGGCAAUUUGCCCCCAGGCUUCUUCAACCUCACGACGCGGCUAGAGCUACGUGCCGAAGCCCGCGCGGCCACUUCCUCACCGGAGCAACGCGAGCCCACCCCCAGGUGACCCAAUCACGAACCUAACCGGUGAUAGUGCAUAAGUAAGGAUGACGGUACGAAGGGGGCCACUUACUGGCGAAGAUGCCGUGAUGAACACCUUCCACGGCGAGGUAUGGCCCGUGGCGAAUCCACUGGGUCAGGUGAGGGCUCCCGGUGUCCUCCCUGUUCCCCCGCGGCCACCAGUACGCGCUCGGUACGGUCUUGCGCGCGCACCGGUCUGCGUCCAGGAUACCGAGAUGAAGCACACGCCCCCAAAUCCAUUGGCGCCCGUGAUUCCUUCUCAUCUCCACGAACUCGUCAAUGGCGACCACUCAUCACCCCGGUUUGCGCGACUGUGCACAACGCAGCAUGGCUAGAUGAGAAU